UACGUAGGGUGCAAGCGUUGUCCGGAAUUAUUGGGCGUAAAGAGCUUGUAGGCGGUUUGUCGCGUCUGCUGUGAAAUUUCGGGGCUCAACCCCGAACUUGCAGUGGGUACGGGCAGACUAGAGUGUGGUAGGGGAGACUGGAAUUCCUGGUGUAGCGGUGAAAUGCGCAGAUAUCAGGAGGAACACCGGUGGCGAAGGCGGGUCUCUGGGCCGUAACUGACGCUGAGGAGCGAAAGCGUGGGGAGCAAACAGG
Molecule: ribosomal RNA, 253 nt
Filed under: uncultured bacterium
Lineage: Bacteria
Description: partial 16S ribosomal RNA
Rfam family: Bacterial small subunit ribosomal RNA
Source: RNAcentral